UACGUAGGGGGCGAGCGUUGUCCGGAGUUACUGGGCGUAAAGGGCACGCAGGCGGUCGUGUAAGUCUGUUCUGACAGCUCCUGGCUCAACCGGGAGAGGCGAACGGAAACUGUACGACUUGAGGACUUCAGAGGGACACGGAAUUCCGGGUGGAGUGGUGAAAUGCGUAGAGAUCCGGAGGAACACCAAAGGCGAAGGCAGUGUCCUGGGAAGUACCUGACGCUCAGGUGCGAAAGCCAGGGGAGCGAACGGGAUUAGAUACCCCGGUAGUCCUGGCCGUAAACGAUGACCACUAGAUGUGGGGGGUAUCGACCCCCUCCGUGUCGUAGUAAACACAAUAAGUGGUCCGCCUGGGGAGUACGGUCGCAAGAUUAAA
This 376-nucleotide ribosomal RNA is filed under the name uncultured bacterium. Its description in RNAcentral is "bacterial SSU rRNA". It matches the Rfam family "Bacterial small subunit ribosomal RNA", at positions 524 to 898 of the family's 1533-position model. The record is from RNAcentral.